CGGUAACAGGUCUUCGGAUGCUGACGAGUGGCGAACGGGUGAGUAAUACAUCGGAACGUGCCCGAGAGUGGGGGAUAACGAAGCGAAAGCUUUGCUAAUACCGCAUACGAUCUCAGGAUGAAAGCAGGGGACCGCAAGGCCUUGCGCUCACGGAGCGGCCGAUGGCAGAUUAGGUAGUUGGUGGGAUAAAAGCUUACCAAGCCGACGAUCUGUAGCUGGUCUGAGAGGACGACCAGCCACACUGGGACUGAGACACGGCCCAGACUCCUACGGGAGGCAGCAGUGGGGAAUUUUGGACAAUGGGCGCAAGCCUGAUCCAGCCAUGCCGCGUGCAGGAUGAAGGCCUUCGGGUUGUAAACUGCUUUUGUACGGAACGAAAAGACUCUGGUUAAUACCUGGGGUCCAUGACGGUACCGUAAGAAUAAGCACCGGCUAACUACGUGCCAGCAGCCGCGGUAAUACGUAGGGUGCGAGCGUUAAUCGGAAUUACUGGGCGUAAAGCGUGCGCAGGCGGUUAUGUAAGACAGAUGUGAAAUCCCCGGGCUCAACCUGGGAACUGCAUUUGUGACUGCAUAGCUAGAGUACGGCAGAGGGGGAUGGAAUUCCGCGUGUAGCAGUGAAAUGCGUAGAUAUGCGGAGGAACACCGAUGGCGAAGGCAAUCCCCUGGGCCUGUACUGACGCUCAUGCACGAAAGCGUGGGGAGCAAACAGG
This 712-nucleotide ribosomal RNA is filed under the name uncultured beta proteobacterium. RNAcentral's name for it is "bacterial SSU rRNA". It matches the Rfam family "Bacterial small subunit ribosomal RNA", at positions 67 to 776 of the family's 1533-position model. Lineage: Bacteria; Pseudomonadati; Pseudomonadota; Betaproteobacteria. The record is from RNAcentral.